CUUGACAUGUACGGAAUGCUGAAGAGAUUUGGCAGUGCUCGAAAGAGAACCGUAACACAGGUGCUGCAUGGCUGUCGUCAGCUCGUGUCGUGAGAUGUUGGGUUAAGUCCCGCAACGAGCGCAACCCUUGUCAUUAGUUGCUACGAAAGGGCACUCUAAUGAGACUGCCGGUGACAAACCGGAGGAAGGUGGGGAUGACGUCAAGUCCUCAUGGCCCUUAUGGGUAG
RNAcentral lists this ribosomal RNA (227 nucleotides) under uncultured beta proteobacterium. RNAcentral's name for it is "partial 16S ribosomal RNA". It matches the Rfam family "Bacterial small subunit ribosomal RNA", at positions 980 to 1211 of the family's 1533-position model. The record is from RNAcentral. Lineage: Bacteria; Pseudomonadati; Pseudomonadota; Betaproteobacteria.